Molecule: ribosomal RNA, 1232 nt
Rfam family: Bacterial small subunit ribosomal RNA
AUGCAGUCGAACGAUGAAGCCCAGCUUGCUGGGUGGAUUAGUGGCGAACGGGUGAGUAACACGUGAGUAACCUGCCCUUAACUCUGGGAUAAGCCUGGGAAACUGGGUCUAAUACCGGAUAGGAGCGUCUACCGCAUGGUGGGUGUUGGAAAGAUUUAUCGGUUUUGGAUGGACUCGCGGCCUAUCAGCUUGUUGGUGAGGUAAUGGCUCACCAAGGCGACGACGGGUAGCCGGCCUGAGAGGGUGACCGGCCACACUGGGACUGAGACACGGCCCAGACUCCUACGGGAGGCAGCAGUGGGGAAUAUUGCACAAUGGGCGCAAGCCUGAUGCAGCGACGCCGCGUGAGGGAUGACGGCCUUCGGGUUGUAAACCUCUUUCAGUAGGGAAGAAGCGAAAGUGACGGUACCUGCAGAAGAAGCACCGGCUAACUACGUGCCAGCAGCCGCGGUAAUACGUAGGGUGCGAGCGUUAUCCGGAAUUAUUGGGCGUAAAGAGCUCGUAGGCGGUUUGUCGCGUCUGUCGUGAAAGUCCGGGGCUUAACCCCGGAUCUGCGGUGGGUACGGGCAGACUAGAGUGCAGUAGGGGAGACUGGAAUUCCUGGUGUAGCGGUGGAAUGCGCAGAUAUCAGGAGGAACACCGAUGGCGAAGGCAGGUCUCUGGGCUGUAACUGACGCUGAGGAGCGAAAGCAUGGGGAGCGAACAGGAUUAGAUACCCUGGUAGUCCAUGCCGUAAACGUUGGGCACUAGGUGUGGGGACCAUUCCACGGUUUCCGCGCCGCAGCUAACGCAUUAAGUGCCCCGCCUGGGGAGUACGGCCGCAAGGCUAAAACUCAAAGGAAUUGACGGGGGCCCGCACAAGCGGCGGAGCAUGCGGAUUAAUUCGAUGCAACGCGAAGAACCUUACCAAGGCUUGACAUGUUCUCGAUCGCCGUAGAGAUACGGUUUCCCCUUUGGGGCGGGUUCACAGGUGGUGCAUGGUUGUCGUCAGCUCGUGUCGUGAGAUGUUGGGUUAAGUCCCGCAACGAGCGCAACCCUCGUUCCAUGUUGCCAGCACGUAAUGGUGGGGACUCAUGGGAGACUGCCGGGGUCAACUCGGAGGAAGGUGAGGACGACGUCAAAUCAUCAUGCCCCCUUAUGUCUUGGGCUUCACGCAUGCUACAAUGGCCGGGUACAAUGGGGUUGGGAUACUGUGGAGGUGGAACUAAUCCCAAAAACCGGCUCCACUUCGG